GUGAAGAGCAGCCGGAGGAGGAGGAGGAAGGGGAGGGGGCGGGCAGAAUAAACUUCCCGAGGCGCAGCGCUGCGGCUUGGGCGGGGAGGCCGGGCGGGAAGGCCAGGCACGCCGACUGGAGGCGGCCCCCGGGGGCGACGGGGGAGACGGGGACCACGAGUGGAAAAGUUCCCCGGGCGCCGGGGGAAGGGGGGGGGGGGGCGGUGCGGAGAGGCUGCGGCGGCGGCGGCUGCAAAGAUCAGGAGCCGGAGCGGGAGGUGGAGGAGGAACGGGAGGAGGAGGAGGAGGAGGAAGUGGCUGCGGAGCGCCCGGCCAAUGAGUGUCUGGAGCUGUGAUUAACCAGCCAGCAACACAUCAUUUCCUCCCGGCGCGGAUCCAGGGAGUCGGGAGGGAGAGGCUAGGCAAGGCGGCGGGGCGGGGCCGGCCCCGCGCCCCCGGCCGACGCCGGGCCCCGGGGGCGAGGCCGCCGAGCCCCUCCAAGCCUGGCUGCGCCAACCCCCCGCCCCACCCCCGGCGCUGUCUGGCCGCCCGAUCGGUGGCCGCCGGCCGGGGGAGGAGGAGGUGGAGGCGCCGCCCCCGAGGCUCCUUGGAGGCGGCGGCGCUGGCCCGAGCCGGGGCCCCGGCGGCUGGGGUGGGAGGUGGAGAGGCCGCGCGGCUCGGGUGAGUGCCCAGAUCCGUUUGUGCAGAGGGCAUUUUAUUGGGUGACUGCAGUGCUGCAAAAGAUUGCAAAGGAAAUGGAAGACCUGGCCGUUGUAGGUCAGGGGUUGAUAAUCUAAUUAAAAGCAAGGGCAUAUAUACAAGGACCAGCUAAAAACAUAUGAUCUCCAGGUGUUAUAAUGACAAGAAUCUGGAGAUGGUCGUUGCUUCUUUAGUGUUGUUUUUCCCCCCUGAGAAGGGCUUUGUACCUAUAUGUUUGAUAGACAUCAGGUAUGGAAAUUCCAGGUCAAAUCCAGGCAACAGUACCUAGCUGUUUCCCUACUGUUAAGAAACAUUACAUCAGGGCUGGCAGUGUCAAUUCCUGGAGUAUCCUGUCACUGUUUUGACCUUGUGUUACACUUUUAGUGUCAGAAGGGAAUAAAGGCUGUCUCCUUCAAAUUUGAGGACAUCUUUUCCAGCUGUGUUUUAAGUGUCCAUCGUUGACAUUUACAGAGUCCUUUUACAGAAUGGCCCCUUUUUGGUAACCUAGUCAAUCGUCUCAUGGCUGUAAGCCCCAUGAAGGGGCAGGUUUGAUGCUAUCCACGACUAUCACCAAGCCCAAGUAGAAUACUACGUGUGUUCUUAAUAAAGACUAGCUCCACAAGUGAAUAAAUGAAUUGAUGAAUCUGCUUU
Long non-coding RNA from Perognathus longimembris pacificus (Pacific pocket mouse), 1329 nucleotides. RefSeq lists it as uncharacterized. The transcript has 2 exons. The record is from RefSeq and is a predicted model, not a curated record. NCBI's taxonomy places the organism in Eukaryota, Metazoa, Chordata, Mammalia, Rodentia, Heteromyidae.